Molecule: long non-coding RNA, 564 nt
Organism: Anguilla anguilla (European eel)
Lineage: Eukaryota; Metazoa; Chordata; Actinopteri; Anguilliformes; Anguillidae
Exons: 5
Source: RefSeq, a predicted model, not a curated record
GGUAGUUUUGACUACAAACCACGCUCGCUCUUCCCAAAAUGACAAGAGGAUUUAUGUGCACUUGCACAAUCGCAUUUAUUUUUCUGGUGGUGGAAUCACAUUCUUCUGUGAAGCAGAAUAAACUGAAUGCAAACAACUGGGGCCCACAGUCAAUGAUGUACCUGAAAGGAAAAUAUGGCAGAAGAUUGGCACCUGACUAUGAUGGGAAUGGUAUAUAUAAUUUAGGCUUGAAAGACUGGUACACAGUUCUCAAAGGAUUCCAAAGGUUGAAGCCAGUGGUCGUGAGGAAAGCCAGACGAAUGCUGAAGGCUGAAAACAUAGUGAUGGGCUACCUGGAGUAGAGCUCAGCUGUGACUGAAGCCUCAUGCGAGAACAUGCUCCAGCAUCACCGAAUGUAAAAAGCUGCACACAAAAAAAUAUUUUCAUCAUGUGACUUUAUUCAGAGGAGUAAUGAUUUCUAUACACAAAAUAUUUUUACAGUAUGUCACUUUUUUUCCUCCUGUGUUGUAAGUCUGUACUGUUCUUUGCCGUUCACACCAAAUUAAAAGGUCUUCUGCUUCCUUU